Molecule: ribosomal RNA, 465 nt
Filed under: Vreelandella stevensii
Lineage: Bacteria; Pseudomonadati; Pseudomonadota; Gammaproteobacteria; Oceanospirillales; Halomonadaceae
Description: partial 16S ribosomal RNA
Rfam family: Bacterial small subunit ribosomal RNA
Source: RNAcentral
CCUACGGGGGGCAGCAGUGGGGAAUAUUGGACAAUGGGGGGAACCCUGAUCCAGCCAUGCCGCGUGUGUGAAGAAGGCCCUCGGGUUGUAAAGCACUUUCAGUGAGGAAGAACGCCUGGUGGUUAAUACCCAUCAGGAAAGACAUCACUCACAGAAGAAGCACCGGCUAACUCCGUGCCAGCAGCCGCGGUAAUACGGAGGGUGCGAGCGUUAAUCGGAAUUACUGGGCGUAAAGCGCGCGUAGGUGGCUUGAUAAGCCGGUUGUGAAAGCCCCGGGCUCAACCUGGGAACGGCAUCCGGAACUGUCAAGCUAGAGUGCAGGAGAGGAAGGUAGAAUUCCCGGUGUAGCGGUGAAAUGCGUAGAGAUCGGGAGGAAUACCAGUGGCGAAGGCGGCCUUCUGGACUGACACUGACACUGAGGUGCGAAAGCGUGGGUAGCAAACAGGAGUAGAUACCCCGGUAGUC